UUAAAGUAGGUACGCCGAUAUCCGCGUUUUACGGAACCGAUAAAUGUGCUAAAAUUCUGUGCCACGUUUUUUGAACUUCGCAUUUAGAGAGAUAAAAUGAGUGAAGAGAUAAAUUAUGCACAAGCUAUUGAAAGCUUAUAUGAAAAAUUAAGUUAGUAAUUCUAUUUUGUUAUUUAGUUAUUAUUUAUUUAAUUAUUUAGUUAGUAAUUCUCAUUUAUUGAAUCUAUUUUAUUCUUAAUUCUAUUUAUAUUAAA
Long non-coding RNA from Hydra vulgaris (swiftwater hydra), 254 nucleotides. RefSeq lists it as uncharacterized. NCBI's taxonomy places the organism in Eukaryota, Metazoa, Cnidaria, Hydrozoa, Anthoathecata, Hydridae. The record is from RefSeq and is a predicted model, not a curated record.